GCCCAGCUAUGAGAGAUUAGUUCUUUUUUAUUCUUAUAAACUUAUUUGAAAAAGGAAUAUAUAUAUAUAUAUACAUCCUCUGUCCAUGCAAUUGAGUGGAUCAGUUCUUUCACCGAGAUCGAGAAUAUUGACCUGUCAAAUAACAUCGACAAGAGUAGUUACUAGACAUACAGCAAGCACGUAUAUAUCAGGAAUACCAAUCGACCCAAUCUAACGUCUACAUACUCCGCAUAUGUGAGGUACAAUAAAUGGUAGGGUAGUGGUAUCGGUAGUGUUCAGAGAGACUGGCACUGUAACUAACGCCAAGAUGCGGAACAGCAAGUUCAAGUGGAAAAAGGAAGCAGUAAAUGUAAUAAAGA
RNAcentral lists this small RNA (359 nucleotides) under Histoplasma ohiense. Its description in RNAcentral is "hypothetical lncRNA". The record is from RNAcentral. Lineage: Eukaryota; Fungi; Ascomycota; Eurotiomycetes; Onygenales; Ajellomycetaceae.